Molecule: unclassified non-coding RNA, 270 nt
Filed under: uncultured eukaryote
Lineage: Eukaryota
Description: partial contains 5.8S rRNA and ITS2
Source: RNAcentral
CGUUCAAAAUCUUGAAUCUUUCCCUCACGGUACUCAAUGUGCGUUCAAAUCUUGAAUCUUUCCCUCACGGUACUCGCAUCUUUCCCUCACGGUACUACUCAAUGUGCGUUCAAAAUCUUGAAUCAUUCCCUCACGGUACCGCAUCUUUCCCUCACGGUACUCAGUGUGUGUUCAAAAUCUUGCAUCUUUCCCUCGCGGUACUAUCAAUGUGCGUUCAAAAUCUUUGCAUCUUUCCCUCACGGUACUAUACAAUGUGCGUUCAAAAUCUUG